CCUACGGGAGGCAGCAGUAAGGAAUAUUGGUCAAUGGAGGCAACUCUGAACCAGCCAUGCCGCGUGCAGGAAGACAGCCCUAUGGGUCGUAAACUGCUUUUAUACGGGAAUAAACUUUGAUUCGUGAAUCAAGCUGAAUGUACCGUAAGAAUAAGGAUCGGCUAACUCCGUGCCAGCAGCCGCGGUAAUACGGAGGAUCCAAGCGUUAUCCGGAUUUAUUGGGUUUAAAGGGAGCGUAGGCGGCCUAUUAAGUCAGGGGUGAAAGACGGUGGCUCAACCAUCGCAGUGCCUUUGAUACUGAUGGGCUUGAAUAUAGUUGAGGUAGGCGGAAUGUGACAAGUAGCGGUGAAAUGCAUAGAUAUGUCACAGAACACCGAUUGCGAAGGCAGCUUACUAAGCUAUGAUUGACGCUGAGGCUCGAAAGCGUGGGGAUCAAACAGGAUUAGAUACCCUGGUAGUCCACGCCCUAAACGAUGAUAACUCGAUGUUGGCGAUAUACAGUCAGCGUCCAAGCGAAAGCGUUAAGUUAUCCACCUGGGAGUACGCCCGCAGGGUGAAACGUUAAUGAAUUGACGG
This 576-nucleotide ribosomal RNA is filed under the name uncultured bacterium. Its description in RNAcentral is "bacterial SSU rRNA". It matches the Rfam family "Bacterial small subunit ribosomal RNA", at positions 338 to 916 of the family's 1533-position model. The record is from RNAcentral.